RNAcentral lists this long non-coding RNA (1024 nucleotides) under Hordeum vulgare. RNAcentral describes it as "long non-coding RNA (HVUL_LNC000841)". Lineage: Eukaryota; Viridiplantae; Streptophyta; Magnoliopsida; Poales; Poaceae. The record is from RNAcentral.
GCUUUAAGAAUUGUAGUACUUAUAAUGAUGCUUAAACUAAUUAACUAUAUCUUAAACUAAUUAAGUAUGCAUAUAAAGGAAGGCAUCUUCAUGUAAUUCUGACUACCAUCCUUGGACCCUGAAGCCCACAAGCACAUGUCACUAUUCCAACACGCAUCAUCAGGUCACUCAGGGUGCCAUGUCGUCAUUCGCCAUAUCAUUAAAACAUGUCGUCAUAUGUAGACUGACAUCCAAGCAUCUGCGGAUUAAUCAACAUAUUUUUAAUUCAAGUUCGGUCUGCAGUGAAUGCCCAUAUAUAGUAAGCAAAAAUAUUCAUAUAGAUAAACAUAAGUCACUAUCAGAUUGACCAACAAAGGUCUUCAAUUCAAUAUUAGUGAUUGCACAGCAGCAGCAGAGUUGUAAGAAACAAUUUCAGUUGGACUGCCAUCAACAUAUAACAACAAUCCAUAGAUGGCAGUAAAGAUCAAAGCUAAAUGAGUGGAUCUUACAUAGACUGCAGCCACCAUUUGUCAGUUAAUAAUUAUUAAAAUAUGAUCAUACCGGAAGAAAAAAAGUUAUUGUCCUAUUUUGAGACAAAACAAUUGUAAUCAAAUACCUAGGUUUAUAACAAAAGCUACCUAGGAGAUGAGCCUUUUUUGUGAUUGCUACCUCGCAUGAAAAGUAGACGCAUACAAAAAAUAGAACGAUGGCUGGAGCUGUCUUGCGUGAAAGCUAUUUGCAACUUGAUCAGACCUAUGGUACGUAGUGUAUGCGGAAAUCCUGCUAGUUCAAUUAGCUGGGCAGUCAAUGGUAAUAGAUGGAGGGGGUAGAUGGUGAGUACCUUCAUCAGGAGCAUUGCAAACACUUCAUAGGAGACCUAGCCGUCAAGGUCAAACCUUCGGCCUCAGGAGAAGUGGAGGAGUAGCAAAAACAUGAUAGAGAAAGGAGGUGGCGUUUCAUGGAAGAAAACGGGAGAGUUGGCCGGGGCAACAUGGACUGCUAGGUGAUCUAAGAACGAUUAGAUCGAAAAAACCUAGGACAUUUA